UGGUUUAUUGAGCAAGGUAGUAGCUCACCUUGACUGCAGCAGUCUCCUCCACAGUGUUAUCGCACUGCUUUGGCCGUUCUACCGCCACUUCCUCCCGGGAAGCGGCAGUAGUAGUAGUAGCCUGUGAAACUUGAGGCAGCAUAUUAGUUUCUAUCGGCCGUGCUGUCACACAAAUGUCAGACUGACGCAGACGUUUGACUUUAUGUAUCAGUUCCGCCUCAAAUAUCUCCUCCACUGCCUGGUCCAAGCGCUGCUCCAGCUCGGCCUCCGACAGGGGCUGCCACUCCCGCUCCGCCAAGUCCAGGACGGCCCUGGCUGCCGACAGAACACACUGGUUGGCGUCCAUUCGCACGAGUAACGACCGACUCCAGAUCUGUUGUCCGCAAGACUAGCCGCUGAGGCGUCGCUUCCCAAAUGUUCCCUCCCUCGUACCCUCCCUCGCUCAAACCGGUGCAAACCCCCACUCCUGCCUCUCCCUCACUGUACGGCCGGCUCGUUGGCUGUGCUGCCCGAGUCCUGCGGCUUCAUGACGUCGGGGAGCUCAGGGGGUGUGGAGAACGGCUCGAUGCUCAGCUGCUCAAAUGAAUCAUCUGCAGGAAGACACACGUACGCACAUGAGACUCUCGAGGGGUCUGAAUACUCGCUAUAUAUAGCAGCAAAGCUGGCAACACGGAUCCCUCCUGCUACAGCUUCUUAUUCUCUAGCAGACCAGAAUGUGCUGCCAGCCACAAAUGGCCCCUGGGCCACACCUUGGACACCCCAGAUAUAAAUGCUAUGAAGACAUCAAAAAGGCUUCUUGGAGAUGUGCUGCACGGAAACGACGUUUCUGACGUCUUUGUGUAAACUGUAAUGAGCAGCGCGCCUCCUUUGUUGAAAAGAUCCAGGUACAGCCUCCCUGUUCCAGUUUCCAUUUUUCAAAAAUCGACUCGCGACAAAUCUCGUCAAGAGACUUUUGGAGAGUCGGACAAGAAAGCACACGUCGGCUCUGUCUCGUUUGUGACAUUAAAAAAACGACAAAAAG
Dunckerocampus dactyliophorus (ringed pipefish) is the source of this 1021-nucleotide long non-coding RNA. RefSeq lists it as uncharacterized. The record is from RefSeq and is a predicted model, not a curated record. Lineage: Eukaryota; Metazoa; Chordata; Actinopteri; Syngnathiformes; Syngnathidae. The transcript is spliced from 4 exons.